UAUGGAUAUGUGGGUCACUUCUUUUACUCUAGCGUGUUCUUUUCCCUUAGCUUCCAGAACUUUAAGAUGCCUGAGGAUUUCACAAAUACAUUGCAUGAGGGAAAAUUACUCUUCUGUUGAUAGAAGAUCUAUGUCAAAGAAAUUCCCAUUGCAACAUGUUGAUGCAUGACUCAUCCUAGGAGAUAUCCUCUAUUGGAUUGGGGCCCUAGAUGAGACAGAGAGGUAUGUUAUAAAUGGCUUUUAUCAAUAAAUUAAAU
RNAcentral lists this long non-coding RNA (257 nucleotides) under Zonotrichia albicollis (white-throated sparrow). RNAcentral describes it as "lncRNA (ENSZALG00000017666.1)". Lineage: Eukaryota; Metazoa; Chordata; Aves; Passeriformes; Passerellidae. The record is from RNAcentral.